Hippoglossus stenolepis (Pacific halibut) is the source of this 190-nucleotide small nuclear RNA. RefSeq annotates it as U2 spliceosomal RNA. Lineage: Eukaryota; Metazoa; Chordata; Actinopteri; Pleuronectiformes; Pleuronectidae. The record is from RefSeq and is a predicted model, not a curated record. The transcript has a single exon.
AUCGCUUCUCGGCCUUUGGCUAAGAUCAAGUGUGUAGUAUCUGUUCUUACUAGUUUAUCUGAUAUGUCCUCUAUAUGAGGACUACAUAUUAAGCAGAUUUUGCAUGAGGGGCAGUAAUUUGAGCUAGUUCCUUUCUCUCCACGCAUCGACUCAGCAUUGCAGUGCAGCCGCUGGGAACGGUGCACUCUGU